UACAGAGGGGGCAAGCGUUGUUCGGAAUUACUGGGCGUAAAGGGCGCGUAGGCGGCCUUCUAAGUCAGACGUGAAAUCCCCCGGCUUAACCUGGGAACUGCGUCUGAUACUGGGAGGCUUGAGUAUGGGAGAGGGAUGUAGAAUUCCAGGUGUAGCGGUGAAAUGCGUAGAUAUCAGGAGGAACACCGGUGGCGAAGGCGGGUCUCUGGGCCGAUACUGACGCUGAAGCGCGAAAGCUAGGGGAGCAAACAGG
This 253-nucleotide ribosomal RNA is filed under the name uncultured bacterium. RNAcentral's name for it is "partial 16S ribosomal RNA". It matches the Rfam family "Bacterial small subunit ribosomal RNA", at positions 524 to 776 of the family's 1533-position model. The record is from RNAcentral.